Molecule: long non-coding RNA, 205 nt
Organism: Oxyura jamaicensis (ruddy duck)
Lineage: Eukaryota; Metazoa; Chordata; Aves; Anseriformes; Anatidae
Exons: 3
Source: RefSeq, a predicted model, not a curated record
AUGGAAUGAUAGAGGUUGUUCACCCUCAGCAAGUAUGCCAAUGACACAAAGCUGGUAAUAGUGACCAACAUGCCAGAAGGAUGUCCUGCCAUUCAGUGAGACCUGGGCAGGCUGGAGAGAUGAGCAGGAAGAAACCAAAUUAAGUUUAAUAAGAGCAAGUGUAGAGUCCUACACCUGGGAAGGAACAGCCACAUGUAUCAGUACA